RNAcentral lists this microRNA precursor (65 nucleotides) under Marmota monax (woodchuck). The record is from RNAcentral. Lineage: Eukaryota; Metazoa; Chordata; Mammalia; Rodentia; Sciuridae.
UCUUAUUGAUGAUAAAGGAAAGUAGUUUCUUGAGCUAGAUUCUACCUUGGUGAAGAUGGUAUGAA